GCAUAUCAAUAAGCGGAGGAAAAGAAACCAACAGGGAUUGCCCCAGUAACGGCGAGUGAAGCGGCAAAAGCUCAAAUUUGAAAUCUGGCUCCUUAGGGGGUCCGAGUUGUAAUUUGUAGAGGAUGCUUCGGGUGCGGCCACGGCCUAAGUUCCUUGGAACAGGACGUCACAGAGGGUGAGAAUCCCGUCUUUGGCAGUUGGCCCGCGCCCGUGUGAAGCUCCUUCGACGAGUCGAGUUGUUUGGGAAUGCAGCUCUAAGCGGGUGGUAAAUUUCAUCUAAAGCUAAAUAUUGGCCGGAGACCGAUAGCGCACAAGUAGAGUGAUCGAAAGGUUAAAAGCACCUUGAAAAGGGAGUUAAACAGCACGUGAAAUUGUUGAAAGGGAAGCGCUUGCGGCCAGACUCGGGCGCGGGGUUCAGCGGGUGCGCGUCACCCGUGUACUCCCCGCCGCCCGGGCCAGCAUCAGUUCUGACGGCCGGUCAAAGGCCCCCGGAAUGUAUCGUCUCUCGGGACGUCUUAUAGCCGGGGGUGCAAUGCGGCCUGUCGGGACUGAGGAACGCGCUUCGGCUCGGAUGCUGGCGUAAUGGCCGUAAGCGGCCCGUCUUGAAACACGGACCAAGGAGUCUAACAUCCACGCGAGUGUUCGGGUGUCAAACCCGUGCGCGCAGUGAAAGCGAACGGAGGUGGGAGCCUUAGGGCGCACCAUCGACCGAUCCUGAAGUCUUCGGAUGGAUUUGAGUAGGAGCGUGGCCGUUGGGACCCGAAAGAUGGUGAACUAUGCCUGAAUAGGGUGAAGCCAGAGGAAACUCUGGUGGAGGCUCGCAGCGGUUCUGACGUGCAAAUCGAUCGUCAAAUUUUGGGCAUAGGGGGCGAAAGACUAAUCGUAACCAUCUAGUAGCUGGUUCCUGCCGAUGA
RNAcentral lists this ribosomal RNA (914 nucleotides) under Arthroderma tuberculatum. RNAcentral describes it as "LSU rRNA". It matches the Rfam family "Eukaryotic large subunit ribosomal RNA", at positions 38 to 967 of the family's 3401-position model. The record is from RNAcentral. Lineage: Eukaryota; Fungi; Ascomycota; Eurotiomycetes; Onygenales; Arthrodermataceae.